RNAcentral lists this long non-coding RNA (1255 nucleotides) under Nicotiana benthamiana. RNAcentral's name for it is "long non-coding RNA (NBEN_LNC023469)". The record is from RNAcentral. Lineage: Eukaryota; Viridiplantae; Streptophyta; Magnoliopsida; Solanales; Solanaceae.
UGGUACCACCCGCUGCCGUAGAUACGCAGGCACCCCCCCAGGGUGUUAGAGGGAAUAGCGAAAUUGAGGUGUCCCUCCUCCGUGAGCUGGAGGAAAUGGGGUUCAAGCAGGUGGAUUUGAACAAGGAAAUCUUGAGGAAGAAUGAGUAUGACCUGGAGCAGUCUGUUGAUGAUCUCUGCGGUGUUGCUGAGUGGGAUCCUAUCCUCGAAGAGCUGGAGGAGAUGGUAGGUUAAUUUUAGAGGUCAAAGAAAAACUGGAAGUUUCCACUUCUCUUUUCACUCUUCUGUUGCUUGUGCAAGAGUUAUUCCAGGUUGACUAUGGGUACUUUUGUGAAUGCAGGGUUUCUCCGACAAAGAAAUGAACAAGAAGCUGCUUAAGAAGAACAAUGGAAGCAUCAAGCGUGUUGUCAUGGAUCUUAUUGCUGGAGAGCAGUAGGAGAGAUUUACUGUUUGUCCUACCUGGUGAAUGAAUAGUUUGGGUUAUGAAUAAUUUGCGGGAUGCAACAACAUGCUUUUGGUGUUCAUGAAAUGGGGUUCAAGCAGGUGGAUUUGAACAAGGAAAUCUUGAGGAAGAAUGAGUAUAACCUGGAGCAGUCUGUUGAUGAUCUCUGCGGUGUUGCUGAGUGGGAUCCUAUCCUCGAAGAGCUGGAGGAGAUGGUAGGUUAAUUUUAGAGGUCAAAGAAAAACUGGAAGUUUCAACUUCUCUAUUCACUCUUCUGUUGCUUGUGCAAGAAUUGUUCCAGGUUGACUAUGGUUUUUUUUUGUGAAUGCAGGGUUUCUCCGACAAAGAAAUGAACAAGAAGCUGCUUAAGAAGAACAACGGAAGCAUCAAACGUGUUGUCAUGGAUCUUAUUGCUGGAGAGCAGUAGGAGAGAUUUACUGUUUGUCCUACCUGGUGAUGGAUAGUUUGGGUUCUGAAUAAUUUGUGGGAUGCAACAAACAUGCUUUUGGUUACUUUUUGUCAGGUACAGUGGUUCGACAAACUCUUUUUAAGUUGUUACUUGAACUCGUUGUGUAAUAUAUAUGCUAUGGUAGUGGUCGUAUCUCGAAACACCUGAUAUUUAGUGCUUAAUGCAUAUGAAUGUAUUUCUUGGUAAUAGCAAGGGGCCAGAGAAAUUUAUCGUGCGCGAUGGGAGGUAAACAUUAAAAAAAUAUUAAUUAAAUUAAAUUAUGAUUGAACUUGUUGAUCCUGGUAGAUGGAAUUACUUUAAUAAAUUUAAAUUGUCAUUUUAUUUGUCAAAACGAUAUACCUAACA